RNAcentral lists this ribosomal RNA (452 nucleotides) under uncultured bacterium. RNAcentral describes it as "bacterial SSU rRNA". It matches the Rfam family "Bacterial small subunit ribosomal RNA", at positions 355 to 825 of the family's 1533-position model. The record is from RNAcentral.
UGGGGAAUAUUGGACAAUGGGCGAAAGCCUGAUGCAGCGACGCCGCGUGAGGGAUGACGGCCUUCGGGUUGUAAACCUCUUUCAGCAGGGACGAAGCGCAAGUGACGGUACCUGCAGAAGAAGCACCGGCUAACUACGUGCCAGCAGCCGCGGUAAUACGUAGGGUGCAAGCGUUGUCCGGAAUUACUGGGCGUAAAGAGUUCGUAGGCGGUUUGUCGCGUCGUUUGUGAAAACCAGCAGCUCAACUGCUGGCUUGCAGGCGAUACGGGCAGACUUGAGUACUGCAGGGGAGACUGGAAUUCCUGGUGUAGCGGUGAAAUGCGCAGAUAUCAGGAGGAACACCGGUGGCGAAGGCGGGUCUCUGGGCAGUAACUGACGCUGAGGAACGAAAGCGUGGGUAGCGAACAGGAUUAGAUACCCAGGUAGUCCCUGAGCGGGCUGGCAAGGCGCAU